GCGCGUGUAGCUCAGUUGGUUAGAGCGGUUGUCUUAUAAACAACAGGUUCGAUGGUUCGAGUCCAUCCACGCGCACAA
Molecule: transfer RNA, 78 nt
Filed under: Candidatus Nealsonbacteria bacterium CG23_combo_of_CG06-09_8_20_14_all_37_18
Lineage: Bacteria; Candidatus Nealsoniibacteriota
Description: tRNA-Ile
Rfam family: tRNA
About the family: Transfer RNA (tRNA) molecules are approximately 80 nucleotides in length.
Source: RNAcentral